This 126-nucleotide ribozyme is filed under the name Anopheles stephensi (Asian malaria mosquito). Its description in RNAcentral is "drz-agam-2-2 ribozyme". It matches the Rfam family "drz-agam-2-2 ribozyme", at positions 1 to 171 of the family's 191-position model. Lineage: Eukaryota; Metazoa; Arthropoda; Insecta; Diptera; Culicidae. The record is from Rfam by way of RNAcentral.
AGCAAUACUGCUCUAGUAAGGUAUGGAUACGAAUGCUAGGUCAAUAAAGUCUCUCUGCACCCUACUUCGAUUGAAUACGUCCCCGGCGUACAGAACGGUAAUGUCUCUCCAAAUAACAUGUUGGGG